Molecule: RNase P RNA, 363 nt
Filed under: bacterium
Lineage: Bacteria
Description: RNase P RNA component class A
Rfam family: Bacterial RNase P class A
About the family: Ribonuclease P (RNase P) is a ubiquitous endoribonuclease, found in archaea, bacteria and eukarya as well as chloroplasts and mitochondria. Its best characterised activity is the generation of mature 5'-ends of tRNAs by cleaving the 5'-leader elements of precursor-tRNAs.
Source: RNAcentral
CCUGGUCCCUGGACGGCCGCCGGCGGCACCUGCCGCGGGAGGAAAGUCCGGGCUCCACAGGGCAGGGUGGUGGGUAACGCCCACCGUUCGCAAGAACAGGGAAAGUGCCACAGAGAACAGACCGCCGGACGGCCCCAAGGGGCGACGGCAAGGGUGAAACGGUGGGGUAAGAGCCCACCGCGCCCCGCGCGAGCGGGGUGGCUCGGCAAACCCCACCCGGAGGAAGACCGAAUAGGAGGAUCGCGCGGCCCGCGCCAGAUCCUCGGGUAGGUCGUUGGCGGCCGUCCGCGAGGGCGGUCCUAGAGAAAUGGCCGUCACCGCCCACGGGCGGCACCAGAACCCGGCUUACGGGGACCAGGCAUC